GGUAAUGGCCCACCAAACCUGUAACCGGUACGGGCUUUGAGAGAAGGAGCCCGGAGAUGGGCACUGAGACAAGGGCCCAGGCCCUAUGGGGCGCAGCAGGCGCGAAACCUCUGCAAUAGGCGAAAGCUUGACAGGGUUACUCUGAGUGAUGCCCGCUAAGGGUAUCUUUUGGCACCUCUAAAAAUGGUGCAGGAUAAGGGGUGGGCAAGUCUGGUGUCAGCCGCCGCGGUAAUACCAGCACCCCGAGUUGUCGGGACGAUUAUUGGGCCUAAAGCAUCCGUAGCCUGUUCUGCAAGUCCUCCGUUAAAUCCACCUGCUCAACGGAUGGGCCGCGGAGGAUACCGCAGAGCUAGGAGGCGGGAGAGGCAAACGGUACUCAGUGGGUAGGGGUAAAAUCCAUUGAUCUACUGAAGACCACCAGUGGCGAAGGCGGUUUGCCAGAACGCGCUCGACGGUGAGGGAUGAAAGCUGGGGGAGCAAACCGGAUUAGAUACCCGGGUAGUCCCGGCUGUAAACGAUGCAGACUCGGUGAUGGGUUGGCUUCGAGCCAACCCAGUGCCGCAGGGAAGCCGUUAAGUCUGCCGCCUGGGGAGUACGGUCGCAAGACUGAAACUUAAAGGAAUUGGCGGGGGAGC
This 635-nucleotide ribosomal RNA is filed under the name uncultured archaeon. RNAcentral describes it as "bacterial SSU rRNA". It matches the Rfam family "Archaeal small subunit ribosomal RNA", at positions 240 to 877 of the family's 1478-position model. The record is from RNAcentral.